Molecule: transfer RNA, 60 nt
Filed under: Brueelia antiqua
Lineage: Eukaryota; Metazoa; Arthropoda; Insecta; Psocodea; Philopteridae
Description: tRNA-Val
Source: RNAcentral
CAAAGUUUAGUUUCUAAAUUUUUUGUUUACACCAAAAAGAUCUCUGGUAGAGUGCUUAUA